This 333-nucleotide unclassified non-coding RNA is filed under the name uncultured soil eukaryote. RNAcentral describes it as "sequence contains 5.8S rRNA gene, ITS2, 28S rRNA gene". The record is from RNAcentral.
AACGCACAUUGCGCUUUCUGGUAUUCCGGAGAGCAUGCCCGUUUCAGAAUCAUCAACAUCAAUCCCAUCCCGCACAUGUCAUGUGGGGGAUGGGGAGGCUGGAUGCUUUGAACCUUAACAGGUGCAAUGGUCUUGAAUGUAGAUUGUACACAGCCCCAGUUGAUAGCAGGUUGGCUCCAUGGUGCAGCAGAUAUUUACCAAGUCUCUUCUACCUGGUUGACAAUCUUGUGGUCCUGGGCUUGCUAGUGUACACGCACUUGGUACCAGUUGAUCCUAUUCAGGAACAACUGAUUACUUGGUCUGAAAUUGGGCAAGAAAACCCGCUGAACUUAA